Molecule: RNA transcript, 7242 nt
Organism: Cynoglossus semilaevis (tongue sole)
Lineage: Eukaryota; Metazoa; Chordata; Actinopteri; Pleuronectiformes; Cynoglossidae
Gene: cps1
Gene name: carbamoyl-phosphate synthase 1, mitochondrial
Exons: 39
Source: RefSeq, a predicted model, not a curated record
UGGUGGAAUUUGAUAGGUUAACCUUUAAGAGUGGAAACAGUUUGUACUGCAGAAUACGUUAAUGUCAACACCCUGACUUGAGUUUCAAAGUUUAAAACAGUGCUGUCAAAGUGACAUUAUUUCAAAUUGUGUUAUUUAUUAAAGAUAAGUUUAACCAGGGGCCAGAAUAUCAACACUCAGCCAUAGAUACUUGAAUUAUUUGCUGAUUAAUUAUUUAAAAUACUAAAAAAAAAAAAACCCCAAACAAAACAAACAAACAAAAAACAUUAAAAUAUGGACCUUUUCAUUUUCAUUUUUUAGUAAAAACGAACGUUUAGAAAACAGACCACAUGUCAGAGCUCAUUUACCACUGGCAAUGAUGUGUCUGAUGCAAGAUCUAAAGCAACACCGAUUUAUGCAUUUAAAACAAUUAUGAUAAGAUUUAAAAACAUGUAAGAUACCCGAGAACUGUCAUAUUUACGUGUGUAUGUAUAUAUUGGGCAGUUAAACCAACCAACCGACCCCAAACUGGAUCUUGGCAUCGGUGCUUCUUUGCAGUUUCAUCACUUUCAUCGUUAUCUAUGACACCCAAUCAAACCCCGCUGAACUUCAAGCGGUGAGAAAAACAACGACGCAUCGACAAAUCAUGUGAAACUUCUGAAGUCGCGUGGGACACGAAGAGGACGCCGAGCACUUAUUCACCUAGUUGUCUCCUUAAAUAACUUUGUUUCUAGUUUCACUGGUAGUUUUAUUUUAUUUAUUUUUUCAACUUUAGGCCAAAAUGACGAAAAUUCUGUUUGCCCAAAGCGUUUUCAAAUCUUUGAGACGGUGUCGUCUUUUUGGCACCACAGUGGGGCACGAGUCGAACUGGCUGGGAUUUCAAACCGUCAAACUUUUUAGUGUAAAGGCCCAGACUGCUCACCUGGUCUUGGAGGAUGGAACCAGAAUAAAAGGAUUUUCUUUUGGGCACAAUGGCUCCAUUGCAGGGGAGCUGGUCUUCAACACCGGCCUGGUGGGGUAUCCAGAGGCCCUGACUGACCCCAGUUACAGAGGUCAGAUACUGACUCUGACCUACCCGAUAGUGGGCAAUUAUGGAGUGCCCAACACCCAGGAGUUAGAUGAGCUGGGCCUGAGGAAGCAUGUGGAGUCAGAGCGAAUCCAGGUGUCUGGCCUUUUAGUUCAAGCGUACAGCCAUGAAUACAGCCACUGGAACUCUGUCAAGUCUCUGGGUCAGUGGCUCCAAGAAGAGAAGGUUCCUGCUUUGUUCGGCAUAGACACCAGAAUGUUGACCAAGGUCAUCAGAGACAAGGGCACAGUUUUGGGGAAGAUUGAAUUUGAUGGACAACCUGUUGACAUAUGUGACCCCAAUAAAAAAAACCUGGUCGCAGAGGUGUCCACUACGGAAACCAAAGUGUUUGGCAGAGGAAACCCAAUCAAAGUAGUAGCAGUUGACUGUGGCAUUAAACACAACAUCAUUCGCCUCUUGGUGAAGAGAGGUGCAGAGGUUCACCUUGUUCCAUGGGACCAAGACUUGCUGAGUCUAGAUUAUGAUGGCCUCUUCAUCUCCAAUGGACCCGGAGACCCAUCGCUGGCCAGGAGCCUCAUUGACAAUGUUCAGAAGGUUCUGCAAAGUGAUCGUCCCCAGCCGGUUUUUGGGAUCUGUAUGGGAAACCAGAUCACUGCUUUGGCUGCAGGAGCAAAAUCGUAUAAACUACCAAUGGGGAACAGAGGCCAGAACCAGCCAGUUGUGAAUAUAAUGACAGGCCAGGCAUUCAUUACGGCACAGAACCACGGCUACGGCAUCGACAGCAAGUCCCUGCCCCCUGGGUGGAGCCCCCUGUUUGUUAACGCCAAUGAUGGCACCAAUGAGGGCAUUAUGCACUCCACUAAACCUGUUUUCACAGCUCAGUUCCACCCUGAGGCUAAAGGCGGUCCCACAGACACAGAGUUUCUCUUUGACACCUUCAUGUCAUUGAUCAAGAAAGGAAAGGAUACCAACCUGGCGUCAGUCAUGCCCAAGAAGCCCUCCUUACCCCCAAGAGCUCAGGUGUCAAAGGUGUUGGUCCUGGGCUCCGGUGGACUUUCCAUUGGUCAGGCUGGAGAGUUUGACUACUCAGGCUCUCAGGCCGUUAAGGCUAUGAAGGAGGAGAAUCUGAAGACGGUGCUCAUGAACCCCAACAUAGCAUCAGUUCAGACUAAUGAGGUGGGCACCAAACAGGCCGACUCUGUCUACUUCCUGCCUGUCACACCUCAGUUUGUAACUGAGGUGAUCAAGGCCGAGCGUCCAGAUGGCAUCCUGCUCUCUAUGGGGGGACAGACUGCACUCAACUGUGGAGUUGAACUGUUUCAACAUGGCGUCCUGGACAAGUAUGGAGUAAAAGUGCUUGGAACACCAGUGGAGUCCAUCAUGGCCACCGAGGACAGGCAGCUUUUUGCUGACAAACUGAUGGAAAUUAAUGAGAAGAUCGCCCCCAGUUUUGCUGUUGACUCUGUGUGUGACGCUUUAAAAGCAGCAGAGAAAAUUGGCUACCCCGUGAUGCUACGAUCAGCCUAUGCCCUGGGAGGCCUCGGCUCGGGUCUUUGUGACAACAAAGAAAAACUGGAGGAAACCGCUCACAAGGCUCUGGCCUUGAGCAGUCAGAUCUUGGUGGAGAAGUCGUUGCUGGGCUGGAAGGAGGUUGAAUAUGAGGUUGUCAGGGACGUCGCUGACAACUGCGUCACAGUUUGCAAUAUGGAGAACUUCGACCCACUGGGCAUUCAUACAGGUGACUCAAUAGUAGUGGCACCGAGUCAGACGCUGUCCAAUGAGGAAUAUCACAUGCUCCGAGAGACGGCCAUCAAAGUGGUCCGACACCUCGGCAUCAUAGGUGAAUGCAACAUCCAGUACGCGCUCCACCCAGCUUCCUUGGAGUACUGUAUAAUCGAAGUAAAUGCUCGACUCUCCAGAAGCUCAGCUCUCGCAUCCAAAGCCACAGGAUAUCCAUUAGCCUUUGUAGCUGCCAAGCUAGCUCUGGGAAUUCCCCUACCCGAGAUCAAAAACGCUGUGUCAGAGAAGACCACGGCCUGCUUUGAGCCCAGUCUGGACUACAUUGUGACCAAGAUCCCCCGCUGGGACUUGGACCGCUUUCAGGGCAUAUCCUCUGAAAUAGGCAGCGCCAUGAAGGGCGUCGGAGAGGUGAUGGCAGUGGGUCGAACCUUUGAGGAGAGUGUGCAAAAAGCCCUCAGGAUGUGUCACCCGUCUGUGGAUGGCUUCGUGCCCCGGCUGCCACUCAAGAAAGCCUGGACCAACACACAGAGUCUGCAACAGGAGUUGGCUGUGCCCUCCAGCACCCGAAUAUUCUCCAUCGCCAAGGCACUCCACAGUGGUGUGAGUGUGGAUCAAAUCCAUCAGCUGACGGCCAUCGACAAGUGGUUUCUUCACAAACUGAACAGAAUCGUCCAAUUGGAGCAGCACUUGGCCAAUUAUAAGAGGUAUACGGUACCUGAAGACUUGCUACUCCAGGUAAAGCAGGAUGGUUUCUCAGACCGACAGGUUGGUCAGAUUCUGGGUUCUAGUGAGAGCGCGGUCAGAGAACUGAGGCUAAAACAUGGUAUCAAACCGUGGGUAAAACAGAUUGACACCUUGGCGGCCGAGUACCCAGCAAAGACCAACUACCUUUAUUGCACCUACAAUGGUCAGGAGCACGACCUGGACUUCAAAGACCAAAGCAUUAUGGUUCUGGGUUGUGGGCCCUACCACAUUGGCAGCAGUGUUGAGUUUGACUGGUGUGCUGUGUCAAGCAUCAGGGCCCUGAGACAGAUGGGCAUGAAGACAGUGGUGGUGAACCACAACCCUGAGACGGUCAGCACGGACUUUGAUGAGUGCGACCGUCUUUAUUUUGAAGAGCUGACCCUGGAACGAAUCCUGGACAUCACCCAACAAGAGGGUUGCUCAGGCAGCAUCGUGUCCGUCGGAGGACAGAUUCCAAACAAUCUGGCUGUACCUUUGCACAUGAAUGGUGUGAAGAUUCUUGGGACAAGCCCUUUACAGAUCGACCGGGCUGAGGAGCGCUCCAUCUUCUCCAGUGUCCUGGAUGAUCUUGGUGUGGCCCAAGCCCCAUGGAAAGCUCUAAGUUCUCUGGAAGAUGCCUUUGUGUUUGCUAACCAGGUUGGUUACCCCUGUCUGCUACGACCCUCCUACGUCCUCAGUGGCUCUGCCAUGAACGUUGUGUACGGAGAAGAAGAGAUGAAACGUUUCUUGGAGGAGGCCACUCAGGUGUCACAGGAACAUCCAGUGGUUAUCACCAAGUUCAUCCGUGGUGCCAGGGAGGUGGAGGUGGACGCUGUGGCCAAAGCUGGGAAGGUGCUCGUCCACGCUAUAACAGAGCAUGUUGAAGACGCCGGGGUUCACUCCGGUGAUGCCACACUAAUGCUGCCAACUCAGACUAUCAGCCAGGGUGCAUUGGAAAAGGUGAAGAUUUCCACUCGCAAAAUUGCACAAGCGUUUGAAAUUUCUGGGCCUUUUAACACUCAGUUUCUGGUAAAAGGCAAUGACGUUAUGGUGAUCGAGUGUAACCUGCGGGCAUCACGUUCUUUUCCUUUUGUGUCAAAAACAAUUGGUGUGGACUUCAUCAAUGUGGCGACCAAAGUGAUGGUGGGAGAGCCUUUGGACGAGGCGAGCCUGCCUUCGCUGGAGCAACCCAUCAUUCCUGUAGACUACGUGGGCAUCAAGGCACCUAUGUUCUCCUGGCCUCGGCUGAGGGAUGCAGACCCAGUGCUUCGCUGUGAGAUGGCUUCCACCGGAGAAGUAGCCUGUUUUGGACCAAACAUUUAUUCAGCCUUCCUGAAAGCUAUGCUCUCCACAGGCUUCAAGCUGCCACAGAAGGGAAUUCUGAUUGGGAUUCAGCACUCAUUCCGACCCCAUUUCCUGGCCACAGCACAUCAGCUGAAAGAGGAAGGCUUCAAGCUCUAUGCCACUGAAGCUACUUCUGCCUGGCUCUGUGCCAAUGACGUUCCUGCCACUACAGUCGCCUGGCCCACGGAGAAGAAAGAAGAUGCCAAUUUGCCCAGUAUUAAGAGGCUAAUAAACGAGGGUCAUAUUGACCUGGUGGUCAAUUUGCCCAAUAACAACACUCGCCACUUAAAGGAUAACUUCCUCAUCCGCAGGAUGGCAAUUGACCACGGUGUCCCCCUCAUCACUAAUGACCAGGUGGUGAAGCUGUUUGCAGAAGCUAUUCACUAUGCAGGUGAUCUCGACACCACCAGCCUCUUCCACUACCGCCGAAAAGAAGGACAACAAAGAGGCAGCAACCUGCAGAGCAGCAGCCAACCUCCGUCACGCCCCUGCUCCAUUUAAACAGCAGAAUUCAGUGAGGCAAUAUAAAUUCUGAAAUCUUCUCUGCAUCUCCUUACCUCAGUUUCUACCUGAAAUAUGGUGAUGAUGACUUAAAGGCACAAGUCUUUGGCUGUGUGCUUAGACCAAAAGAUACAAAGUAAUUUUUAUAAAUACUGGGUAGUCCUUCCUUCCUUCCUUCCUUCCUUCCUUCCUUCCUUCCUCCUUCAGCAAUCUGAUCCUGUUUAGUGGGAAAUUGAAGAUAGAGCUUUCUUUAUUUUUUUUUUAUUAUAUCCUCUUUACACUUUUACUGUCGGCUGUCGGUGGGUAAUUAAAUUAGGAAUCUUUGUGACAUUUACUCCCAGGUAAGUCAUUAAUAAUCAUAAUAAUCCUUAAUUCAUACAGUAGCCAUCAGUGUUGGAAAAUAUAUAUAUAUGUAAGUGUGAGAACCUCAGUAUGACUGUAAUACUGUGAUAAAAGGAUAGUACUUCCGUAAAAGCUAACAGACCAGUCUUUAUAAGUAAACAUUUCACUUUUGUAAAUUCUGAUCCUAUUUAGAGAAAAGUAGGAGCCAGAGUUACUGGCUAUUGGAUGAUCACAUUGUUCUUAUGGGGUUUUUUUUUAAUUUAAAAUAAACACCAGGAUAUAUUGGAUAAGACCUAAAAGAACCUGGUUGUUUAAAUCUCAAACUUGCAUUUAAAAAAAUAGUAUAAUAAAACUUUACAACUUUUACUGUAAGUAGAACUGAACUGAUUGCGUUUAGAGCUUUUCUGUUUGCUCGGUGUUAUAACAGCAGGACCGUAAAGCCAAAGAGGUUUUAUUAUUCUGAAUAUAAUUUAAAUAAAUAACAUAAUGGAUAUAAAUAGAUGAAGAUAAAAUAUUUAUAAGAAAAAAAACAUACUUUAUAAAGUCUCUGAAUACACGGGCCAAAAAACAUUGUAAAAAAACCCCCAGUAGUGUUGAGUAGUUGUUCCUUUUUUCUACAUUUUUCUACAUCACUCUGCAUGUUUUAUGAUGGAUGUUCACAUUUUGACUUUAUUUUUAUUUUUAAAACGUAAACCUAAAUCGUACGUUAACAUGAAUUUGAUUGAACCACAACUUGACUUGGCAACAACUCUUCACCUUCACCCUGACUUCAUUUCAUCUGCUCUCAUUCACGUGUGUUGGAAGUGUACUGUGUACUUUAUGAAUGACUUGUAGAUAAAGUAGUGAUAACGUGCCUGUCCUUGGUGGGUGUUUGCUGUGAUGAUCUGAUCUUUGUACGCCUUUCUCCGUCAGACAGUGGCACUCCAUCACAUUUAUUUGUGUUUACACGCCUCAUAAUAACAAAAUAUUCAUUGGCUGUUCACACUUCAUUUAAGGGCAUCAAUUCUCAGCUCAUCCCUGCUUCACUUUUGGGCCAACCACACACACACACACGGUACAAGACAUUAACAACACACUCACAGCCAUCGUUAGACAAUUCAUCAUUAGAACUGAGAGAAAUCCUGACGCAGCUAUGGUCGGACGGACCGCAUUAAAACAAUCCAUUAAGUUUUCUAUGUCCUUGCAAAAUUUCAUCCAUCCCGGAAAAGUCUCCAUAUUUCUGGCAGGUUCAACUAAAGCAUCAGCCUGUACUAAGGACAGACUGUGUACCUGUCUUUUCAGUAAAUCUCUUCCUUUUUAGGUUGUAUUUUAUGAUUGUAGAUUGUGUCCCCCUUGUGGCUGAAGGAUAUAUAGCAUGUCGUUUUGAUAUAUAGGUCAUUUCAGAAUAUAAAUCGCAGGAUUAGCCAAACUACAAAAGAAAAGAAAAAAGGUGACCGGACCAGUGAGGCUGUAUGGGGGGGGUGGAGGUGAGGCCCCGUGACUGAGGGGGCUGAACAUUUUAAUUUAUUAUUUUUAAAUUUUAUUUAAUUAUAAUUUUUACUGUAAAAUAUACUUUGAGACUUUUCUUGCAGUAUGUUUUAGUCUAU